RNAcentral lists this ribosomal RNA (506 nucleotides) under uncultured bacterium. RNAcentral's name for it is "partial 16S ribosomal RNA". It matches the Rfam family "Bacterial small subunit ribosomal RNA", at positions 29 to 523 of the family's 1533-position model. The record is from RNAcentral.
AGUGAACGCUGGCGGUAGGCCUAACACAUGCAAGUCGAACGGCAGCACAGGAGAGCUUGCUCUCUGGGUGGCGAGUGGCGGACGGGUGAGGAAUACAUCGGAAUCUACUCUGUCGUGGGGGAUAACGUAGGGAAACUUACGCUAAUACCGCAUACGACCUACGGGUGAAAGCAGGGGACCUUCGGGCCUUGCGCGAUUGCAUGAGCCGAUGUCGGAUUAGCUAGUUGGCGGGGUAAAGGCCCACCAAGGCGACGAUCCGUAGCUGGGCUGAGAGGAUGAUCAGCCACACUGGAACUGAGACACGGUCCAGACUCCUACGGGAGGCAGCAGUGGGGAAUAUUGGACAAUGGGCGCAAGCCUGAUCCAGCCAUACCGCGUGGGUGAAGAAGGCCUUCGGGUUGUAAAGCCCUUUUGUUGGGAAAGAAAUCCAGCUGGCUAAUACCCGGUUGGGAUGACGGUACCCAAAGAAUAAGCACCGGCUAACUUCGUGCCAGCAGCCGCGGUAA